GUGGGAAGAAGGCCUUCGGGUUGUAAACCUCUUUCGACCGGGACGAUAAUGACGGUACCCUUGGAAGAAGCCCCGGCUAACUACGUGCCAGCAGCCGCGGUAAUACGUAGGGGGCAAGCGUUAUUCGGAAUUACUGGGCGUAAAGCGUGCGUAGGCGGUUCGGUAAGUCCGGUGUGAAAGCCCUGGGCUCAACUCGAGGAGUGCCCCCGAGACUGUCGGUCUUGAGGCCAUUUGAGGAUGAUGGAAUUCCCUGUGUAGCAGUGAAAUGCAUAUAUAUGUGGAGGAACACCAGUGGCGAAGGCGACCAUCUGGACCUGUUCUGACGCUGAGGCACGAAAGCUAGGGGAGCAAACAGGAUUAGAUACCCUGGUAGUCCAAGCCCUAAACGAUGGAUACUAGGUGUAGGUGGUA
Molecule: ribosomal RNA, 411 nt
Filed under: uncultured bacterium
Lineage: Bacteria
Description: bacterial SSU rRNA
Rfam family: Bacterial small subunit ribosomal RNA
Source: RNAcentral